AAAAAGACCAUUCGGCUCCCUAACUAUUUCUCCUACCCUCUCUUUUUGUUAGGGGGUUAAAAUUCAUUAUGUUUCUCAUUCAUCCUACUCUUUUACAAACGUGUCCGAGCAGAAGUUUUUUCUCUUAUUACAAGUCGUGUGAUGUGUGAUAUAUAUGAUCCACGUACAAAUGAACACCCCUUGAGCAAGGAAUUCCCAUUUGAAUAAUUCACAAUCCAUAUCAUUGCUCAUACUGAAACUUUUACAAAGUCUUCUUUUGGAAGAUUCAAUAAAGGAAAUUACCCGUACAAGACUUUUAAGACUUUUUUCGUCUUUUUUAAUUGACAUAGACCCAAGUCAUAUAGUAAAAUG
RNAcentral lists this unclassified non-coding RNA (351 nucleotides) under Tetraena mongolica. RNAcentral's name for it is "partial trnL-trnF intergenic spacer". The record is from RNAcentral. Lineage: Eukaryota; Viridiplantae; Streptophyta; Magnoliopsida; Zygophyllales; Zygophyllaceae.